Molecule: ribosomal RNA, 504 nt
Filed under: uncultured bacterium
Lineage: Bacteria
Description: partial 16S ribosomal RNA
Rfam family: Bacterial small subunit ribosomal RNA
Source: RNAcentral
AUUGAACGCUGGCGGCAGGCCUAACACAUGCAAGUCGAACGGUAGCACAGAGAGCUUGCUCUCGGGUGACAAGUGGCGGACGGGUGAGUAAUGUCUGGGAAACUGCCCGAUGGAGGGGGAGAACUACUGGAAACGGUAGCUAAUACCGCAUAACGUCGCAAGACCAAAGGGGGGGACCUUCGGGCGUCACACCAUCGGAUGUGCCCAGAUGGGAUUAGCUAGUAGGUGGGGUAAUGGCUCACCUAGGCGACGAUCCAUAGCUGGUGUGAGAGGAUGACCAGCCACACUGGAACUGAGACACGGUCCAGACUCCUACGGGAGGCAGCAGUGGGGAAUAUUGCACAAUGGGCGCAAGCCUGAUGCAGCCAUGCCGCGUGUAUGAAGAAGGCCUUCGGGUUGUAAAGUACUUUCAGCGGGGAGGAAGGCGGUUAAGUUAAUAACUUCACCGAUUGACGUUACCCGCAGAAGAAGCACCGGCUAACUCCGUGCCAGCAGCCGCGGUAA